AUAAACGUUGGCGGCGUGUCUAACGCAUGCAAGUCGCACGAGGGCUUCGGCCCGAGUGGCGGACGGGUGAGUAACACGUAGGAACCUGCCCGGAAGUGGGGGACAACUCCUCGAAAGGGGAGCUAAUACCGCAUACGGUCUACGGACCAAAGCCGAAAGGCGCUUCUGGAGGGGCCUGCGGUGGAUUAGCUAGUUGGUGGGGUAACGGCCUACCAAGGCGACGAUCUAUAGCUGGUCUGAGAGGAUGGCCAGCCACACUGGGACUGAGACACUGCCCAGACUCCUACGGGAGGCAGCAGCGAGGAAUUUUGCACAAUCGACGCAAGUCGGAUGCAGCAACGCCGCGUGGGGGAAGAAGGCUUUCGAGUUGUAAACCCCUUUUGUGAGGGAGGAAGAUCUGACGGUACCUCACGAAUAAGUCACGGCUAACUACGU
RNAcentral lists this ribosomal RNA (435 nucleotides) under uncultured bacterium. Its description in RNAcentral is "bacterial SSU rRNA". It matches the Rfam family "Bacterial small subunit ribosomal RNA", at positions 29 to 506 of the family's 1533-position model. The record is from RNAcentral.